RNAcentral lists this ribosomal RNA (403 nucleotides) under bacterium. RNAcentral describes it as "partial 16S ribosomal RNA". It matches the Rfam family "Bacterial small subunit ribosomal RNA", at positions 355 to 776 of the family's 1533-position model. The record is from RNAcentral.
UGGGGAAUAUUGCACAAUGGGGGAAACUCUGAUGCAGCGACGCCGCGUGAACGAAGAAGGUAUUCGUAUCGUAAAGUUCUGUCCUAUGGGAAGAUAAUGACAGUACCAUAGAAGAAAGCCCCGGCUAAAUACGCCCCAGCAGCCGCGGUAAUACGUAUGGAGCGAGCGUUUUCCGGAAUUAUUGGGCGUAAAGGGUAUGCAGGCGGUUUAAUAAGUCGAAUGUUAAAGAUCGGGGCUCAACCCCGUAAAGCAUUGGAAACUGAGAAACUUGAGUAGUGGAGAGGAAAGUGGAAUUCCUAGUGUAGUGGUGAAAUACGUAGAUAUAAGGGGGAGUACCAGUAGCGAAGGCGACGUUCUGGAGACAAACUGACGCUGAGGUACGAAAGCGUGGGGAGCAAACAGG